AAAGUCCCACGCUGUAAGGUAUAAGCCGUACCGCAGCUAGCGAGUCUUGGGUGGGUAGUAGAGAUACUGACUCCUAAGCGUAGACAGCGAAACUUGCAGGGCAUAACUAUAUAUAGCCUUGAUAUCAAAAUGUAAUUGGGAAGGAAGAGGUGCUCCUAUUCACUGAAAGCAAUACGGCUGUAAACGAUAAUGGCGAGAAUACAGCCGCUUCCCCGGUUUUUUUAGG
Clostridium sp. FS41 is the source of this 226-nucleotide non-coding RNA. The record is from Rfam. NCBI's taxonomy places the organism in Bacteria, Bacillati, Bacillota, Clostridia, Eubacteriales, Clostridiaceae.